GGACGGAAAGACCCCGAGGAGCUUUACUGCAACCUGAAAUGGAAUGAUUGUACCGCUUGUACAGGAUAGGAAGGAGCCGAAGAGACGUGAGCGCUAGCAUACGAGGAGGCAAUGGUGGGAUACUACCCAGGCUGUAUGACCAUUCUAACCCGCCACGCAAAGCGCGUGGGGAGACAGUGUCAGGUGGGCAGUUUGACUGGGGCGGUCGCCACCUAAAGAGUAACGGAGG
RNAcentral lists this ribosomal RNA (229 nucleotides) under Listeria monocytogenes. RNAcentral describes it as "partial 23S ribosomal RNA". It matches the Rfam family "Bacterial large subunit ribosomal RNA", at positions 2078 to 2306 of the family's 2925-position model. Lineage: Bacteria; Bacillati; Bacillota; Bacilli; Caryophanales; Listeriaceae. The record is from RNAcentral.